UUCUGUUUUAAACACUGUCACUAAGUGCUGUGACCCAGGUCAUAGCUAAGUCCCUCUUCCAUCGGGAACCCAGUGUCAAAGCGAACAUUUGCCUGGCCGUGGGGCUGGUGAAGGCUGAGGGAAAGGAGGCCUGUUGUCAGUGGCAGGAUACAAUUUGCAAAAGAAACUAUUCAGUUUUUAUUUCCACUCCUUUGUCUCUUGGAGACGUCCUGGCGUCUGUUCAGCCGCUGUUCAGGGAUCUUGGCAUCAUAACGGAGGUUUGAAGCCACUGCCUCCCUGGGAUCGGAGAUAUGUGAUAUGUCCCAGUGUCCUUUGCAGGUCUGAAGGCCUUUGAACAUAAAAAAUAGAUUAAGGGAAAAGGCACAUUCCUAUGAUUUACUCCGAUGUACGCACUUCAAUCUAUGCAGAAGAGAGGCCCCAAAUCAUCCCCAGACCAACACACCGUCCUCAGCAAAGGACCCUCUUAACUCCAUCACUGAAGUCUCCAUUAAUCAGCCUGAUAUAUAGAUGUCAGGUUUUUCUGGCAGUUGAAACAUGAAGCACACAGCAUCAGCUGGGGAUUGCGUUUCAAGCCAUAAAGACCAUGUUUACAUGCUGGUUCUGUUUAAGAAUUUUCCCCUAUCAUUUUACUCAAAUGGCCUCCCAUUUUAUGAGAAAUAAAGUUAGAACUAAUAAAGGCAGCCCCUUCUGAGCUCGGCAAGGCA
This is a long non-coding RNA of Peromyscus eremicus (cactus mouse), 704 nucleotides long. RefSeq lists it as uncharacterized. The record is from RefSeq and is a predicted model, not a curated record. Lineage: Eukaryota; Metazoa; Chordata; Mammalia; Rodentia; Cricetidae. The transcript has 2 exons.